Molecule: long non-coding RNA, 1485 nt
Filed under: Dromaius novaehollandiae (emu)
Lineage: Eukaryota; Metazoa; Chordata; Aves; Casuariiformes; Dromaiidae
Description: lncRNA (ENSDNVG00000018235.1)
Source: RNAcentral
CCCCGCCGCGGAGGGAGCGCGCGGAGACGGCGGCCGAGGCAAAGUUACUAAUUAUGGUCGCGAAUCCCUUCCCCUCUUUCCUUCAAGGACAGUUUCAAAUUCUGCGCCGCCUAAUGGCUCCAAAUUACCAUUGCACAACCAUCUGGUAUGACAAGAAGUGGGAGAAAAAAAAAAGGAGAACAAAGGCAAACGCAGGAGAAAGAGGCACCGUUUAGACCCAAAUCCUCCCGGGGAAUGGCCCAAUCCGCGCUAAAAUGCCCCCGAGGAUUAAUGGGAAGGUUCUGGUCGUUCAGCCCUGGGCUUUUUGGAGCUCUCGGAGAAGCAGAGCCUUCCGUGCCUAGCACUGCCUGCCUGUGUUCUCCAUAGGGGCAGCAGCAGCACUAUGGCUGUUUGUAAUCCAGCAUGGAGACACUGCUCAGCCUUCUCCUUGCAAACAAAACAGCCCAAAGUGAACUCACAGGCUCCCCUGCUCGCACAGGCGAGCCCGAACACACAUUCUAACCAUCUCCCUUCAGUCCCAGCUCCACUUUAGGACACGCACACAAAAUUAAAAAUGCAAAAACUCCACAUACACACAACACACACACACACAAAUUACAGUUAUCUUUGCAAAUGCUUCUUUAAUCUCUCCCCUUCGUUCCCCAUCUCGCUCCCCUAUUUUUUUUUUACUUACCUUUCUUUUGGGCAUAGUUGCACCUUAAUAGUUGAUUGCAAAAUAUAUAGAUAUAGAUAUAUAUAAAAAAUAAAUGUAACCACCAAAAAACUGUUUCAACCGUUCUGCAAAAUUGCCAAAAAAAAAAAAAACGUAUAAGGGACCAAGAGUUAAUUGCAGCAGAAACUGAACAAAAAAAAAUCCCCCCCUCUUUAUUGCAAACAGUAAAAUACACCAACACGCAACCAAACUGCAUGAAUGGAGAGCGCGAGAUGGGUCCAGCCGCGGAGUGACGGGCGCGGCGGCCAAUGGGCGCGCGGGCAGCGGCACGGGAGGCGGGGGCACGGCCGGGGGGCGGGGCCGGCGCCGUAGCGCGAGCGACGCUCACACACAGAGAGACGGCGGCGCUACGCUGUGUGCGCAAGGCGGCCGGCCUAAAGCGCGCGGAUCAGAACCAAGCAGCAGAUAAGAGAAGCAUUCACAUGAAUGGCCAUGCGAUGAAGAACUUAGUCCUUGCUGCUCCCCUUUAAUGUUAAAGUGAAGGAGGCUGCGGUCAAUAGUACAAAUCUGACCCAGUCUUACUGCAGGUACAGUGAUUAUGUCAUUCUUCACACUGCUGUCUCUGCAAUCAGAAGGGUGGAUGAGAUGCAUCUGAGGGUGCUGAGAGAUGACAGCAUAGCAAAGCUGCCUUGACUGCUUCGCUAAAGUCAAUAGGUAAGGUCUACCAUGACAACUUCUGUUAGACUAGAAGCAAGUAGGACAUAGACUCUGGAUACAUUAGACUCUCAACCUGGUUCAUUUAACAAUGAACAACCCCAUAAUCACAAAUGCAG